This 71-nucleotide transfer RNA is filed under the name Candidatus Pacearchaeota archaeon. RNAcentral's name for it is "tRNA-His". It matches the Rfam family "tRNA". Rfam says of the family: Transfer RNA (tRNA) molecules are approximately 80 nucleotides in length. Their secondary structure includes four short double-helical elements and three loops (D, anti-codon, and T loops). Lineage: Archaea; Nanobdellati. The record is from RNAcentral.
GCGGAUGUAGUUUAAUGGCAGAAUGCAAGACUGUGGCUCUUGAGACGUGGGUUCGAUUCCCACCUUCCGCU